AUACUUACCUGGCCGAGAAGAUACUAUGACCAAGAAGUCAUUUUCCUCAUGGGAACUCAUCACUGGGCUUGGGAUGUGUUGAUGUUUUUGGCUCCUCCAAAUGUGAGAACCUUGACUGCAUUAUUUGUGAUGGUGGGAACUGUGUUUGUUGUCUCUA
This 157-nucleotide small nuclear RNA is filed under the name Microtus ochrogaster (prairie vole). Its description in RNAcentral is "U1 spliceosomal RNA (ENSMOCG00000011225.1)". It matches the Rfam family "U1 spliceosomal RNA". Rfam says of the family: U1 is a small nuclear RNA (snRNA) component of the spliceosome (involved in pre-mRNA splicing). Its 5' end forms complementary base pairs with the 5' splice junction, thus defining the 5' donor site of an intron. The record is from RNAcentral. Lineage: Eukaryota; Metazoa; Chordata; Mammalia; Rodentia; Cricetidae.